UGAAUGAGAGGCAGAGGAUCUCUGCCUCAAAAUCAAUAUAUGCCACACUAGAUGAGAAAACAAAUGUUCUGUUUGCGGGAAAACUCACAGGCAAGGUCUUCCUGUAGGUCCUCUCAUCACAGAUGUACUAUGUGAGUGUGUUAAGGCGAUGCCACAAAAGUAGAAUUUUG
Thalassophryne amazonica is the source of this 170-nucleotide long non-coding RNA. RefSeq lists it as uncharacterized. The record is from RefSeq and is a predicted model, not a curated record. The transcript is spliced from 3 exons. NCBI's taxonomy places the organism in Eukaryota, Metazoa, Chordata, Actinopteri, Batrachoidiformes, Batrachoididae.